Molecule: ribosomal RNA, 498 nt
Filed under: uncultured Colwellia sp.
Lineage: Bacteria; Pseudomonadati; Pseudomonadota; Gammaproteobacteria; Alteromonadales; Colwelliaceae
Description: bacterial SSU rRNA
Rfam family: Bacterial small subunit ribosomal RNA
Source: RNAcentral
CGGGGGCGGGAGCUUACCAUGCAAGUCGAGCGGUAACAGAGAGUAGCUUGCUACUUUGCUGACGAGCGGCGGACGGGUGAGUAAUGCUUGGGAAUAUGCCUUAUGGUGGGGGACAACAGUUGGAAACGACUGCUAAUACCGCAUAACGUCUACGGACCAAAGGGGGGGAUCUUCGGACCUCUCGCCAUUUGAUUAGCCCAAGUGAGAUUAGCUAGUUGGUAAGGUAAAGGCUUACCAAGGCGACGAUCUCUAGCUGGUUUGAGAGGAUGAUCAGCCACACUGGGACUGAGACACGGCCCAGACUCCUACGGGAGGCAGCAGUGGGGAAUAUUGCACAAUGGGCGAAAGCCUGAUGCAGCCAUGCCGCGUGUGUGAAGAAGGCCUUCGGGUUGUAAAGCACUUUCAGUUGUGAGGAAAGGGGUGUAGUUAAUAGCUGCAUCCUGUGACGUUAGCAACAGAAGAAGCACCGGCUAACUUCGUGCCAGCAGCCGCGGUAAC